AUAAAUGACGUAAUGUAUCGGUAUGAGCGCGUGUGAUUGGUUGCCUUUAUUUGUCUCAUAAUGGCCGCUCUGUUUGCACACAGUUGCUUCCCGUCUAGCAUUUUUGACGAAAAUUUUGGUAAUAUAGCAAGGGAAAUGUGCCAGUGUUUAGCUUUUUUGACUCUGACAUCUGCCUGGCAGGGAAAAAAUGCUUAAGCUUGGACCAGACAGAGAUCUUUUGUAUGGAUUUCUUCUCACAGAAACAUCGUUGGAGCAGAUUGAUGCCUUGUGAUUUAUUUGAAUCCAUUUAUAGUAUUACCAAUGCCUUUGUAUGGAUAAAUGGACUGAAGAUGGCCUCGUUUCACGUAUCGUUUCCAUUUUUUUCCAAAACACCCUGAUGUUGGAAAUGUACACAAAGGAAACCGUCUAUAAGAUGCUCAAAAAUUCUUGUUCUCUAAACAAGUGUAUUUGCCAGUUGGACCAAGCCUACAAAUCAGGGAUUCCGUGAUAAAGUAUAUACAGCCAAAGCUACGAUGCCGAGGACAGUAGAGAUAUAUCCCUAAAACAAGUGAAAUUUAUAAUUUUAUCCUAAAUUUUUAAUCUCUUUUUUAGUAGAUGAAUGUUGGUGCUGUUUUUUCAUUUUUUUCAUUUUUAAGUUCUAUUUUAUAUAUAAAAUGAUUUCGUCUAUUUUUUUUCCUCAAUGCAAAUUCAACUACAAAGUGUCUGUUCUUAUUUCAAUUUAAAAAGUCUUAAUAACACAAUAGUCGGACCCUUUUAUAUUACCAAAUCUGUACAUUCUUAUCAAUUCUUGUGUGCAAAAUUUGAGAGAAUUGUUCUAUUAGUUUGUCAUUUUUAUUUCUAGUGAAAUUUCAUAUUAGAAAGUGCAAUAGAAUGAAUAUGCAUUAUGCACAAUAAUUUAGUUAGUGAUUUUGAUCUAAAAUAAAAGUUUAUCAAAAGUUUAUUUGGAAACUGUUUUGAGCGACAUACCUAAUGUGAUUAUAAAUUACAUCAGCUUUAUUGACAUUAAAUCGCAAAACUGCAAAAGAUGCAUGAACCUAACUGUACUACCACAGACGUGGUUGUGCAAAAUAUUUCCUUGUCUAAUAUUGUUCUGACUGAUAUUUACUUAGUCGUUGUAUUUAUGAAAUAGAGUAUAAAUUAUAUAAUUAUACUUUUGAUAAAUUAUUAAAACUAAUUA
Hydractinia symbiolongicarpus is the source of this 1177-nucleotide long non-coding RNA. RefSeq lists it as uncharacterized. The transcript has 3 exons. The record is from RefSeq and is a predicted model, not a curated record. Lineage: Eukaryota; Metazoa; Cnidaria; Hydrozoa; Anthoathecata; Hydractiniidae.